CUUCAUUCUUUUUAGAUUUCUCGGAAAAAUCAGUUCGUAAUGGGAGAAAUAUUGAAUUUAUUGUUAAUUAUUUUUAUAAUUGCCGAGUCUCUUGGUCAAAUUGUGCAAAAAGAUGAUUCUGAAGUUAGUUGUGAUGGGUUUAAGUGUCCUGAGGGAACCAAUAUUUGUCGUGUUACAAAGGAUUCUGUGGGAAAUUCUGAUGAAAUUGUCGUUGAAAGGAGUUGUAAAGAUAAAAAUGGAAAAACCCUCUUCUCCGACAUCAAAAAAAUCGCAAGCACCAUUAAUGACUAUCAUUUCGCAUCAGAAACUUCCGUUAAUGCACAAAAAACUUCAAACUGGCGAAACGACAUUCACAGAGACCUCAACGAAAAAACGAGAAAACUGAAGGAAGAAGCUGAAAACCUUUCACGUCAAGCAAAACUCGCUCUCCAAAAAGCAUUUGAUCGAAUUUUCUCACAUCGCCAAGAAAUAUUUUGAAAAUAAAAUUUAUUAACGUCCAAAAAUGUUCGCGAACGUAUUUUGCAAGUUAUUGUUCAAAUUAUACAAAACUUGACUUAAUUGAUCAUUCACUUGUUUCUG
Molecule: long non-coding RNA, 579 nt
Organism: Culicoides brevitarsis
Lineage: Eukaryota; Metazoa; Arthropoda; Insecta; Diptera; Ceratopogonidae
Exons: 2
Source: RefSeq, a predicted model, not a curated record